AGUGAACGCUGGCGGUAGGCCUAACACAUGCAAGUCGAACGGCAGCACAGUAAGAGUUUGCUCUUACGGGUGGCGAGUGGCGGACGGGUGAGGAAUACAUCGGAAUCUACUUUUUCGUGGGGGAUAACGUAGGGAAACUUACGCUAAUACCGCAUACGACCUACGGGUGAAAGCAGGGGAUCUUCGGACCUUGCGCGAUUGAAUGAGCCGAUGUCGGAUUAGCUAGUUGGCGGGGUAAAGGCCCACCAAGGCGACGAUCCGUAGCUGGUCUGAGAGGAUGAUCAGCCACACUGGAACUGAGACACGGUCCAGACUCCUACGGGAGGCAGCAGUGGGGACUAUUGGACAAUGGGCGCAAGCCUGAUCCAGCCAUACCGCGUGGGUGAAGAAGGCCUUCGGGUUGUAAAGCCCUUUUGUUGGGAAAGAAAAGCAGCAGGUUAAUACCCCGCUGUUCUGACGGUACCCAAAGAAUAAGCACCGGCUAACUUCGUG
This 492-nucleotide ribosomal RNA is filed under the name uncultured bacterium. RNAcentral's name for it is "partial 16S ribosomal RNA". It matches the Rfam family "Bacterial small subunit ribosomal RNA", at positions 29 to 507 of the family's 1533-position model. The record is from RNAcentral.